RNAcentral lists this long non-coding RNA (1289 nucleotides) under Homo sapiens (human). RNAcentral's name for it is "uncharacterized LOC105375387, transcript variant 14 (LOC105375387)". The record is from RNAcentral. Lineage: Eukaryota; Metazoa; Chordata; Mammalia; Primates; Hominidae.
UGUAUUCUGCUAUGUCUACUGGGAGAAUACACUAGUGGGGAUAGUUCUGUGUAUACAGUGAUUAAGCACAUAGGUUCUGGAGCCAGUCUGUUUCUUUCAAAAUCACCUCAUUGCUUUUGAAGAAUCAGGGAAACCCCCAUGAGACUACAGGUGUGAAGCAAGAUAGAAGCAUCAGUGCAAAAGAGUACUGCAUUUCCAAAUAAAGCCACUCACAAUCUUUAAUCAGGCUGUAAAUUUUAAGAAAUCUGGACCAAGACAGUUUGCUCCAAGAGUAUCCCACAAAUGCAGAUCUUCAGAGUGAGAUUUUAUUAUUGGAUUGCUCACCUGUCUGUUGAUUCUCUUACUGAGAUACCUUGGAACAUGGUUUGAAUAAUAUUGCUCUAACUUCUUUCAUGUCAGGAAGCUCUGAGUUGCCAUAGACUUGCGGAAAUGCCUGCUACAUACAUGCGUGUUGAACAAUGAACUUCAUAACUGACAUAUUUAUCAGAGAAUCAGGAUGAGAGAAGAUACUUCCUUUUCUUACUUAAUAAGAAUAGACCUUGGAGGUCUGGACCUGGACAUGAACGUACACUUUUCUAAAGAAGAUAUACACAUGGCCAACAAGCAUGUGAAAAAAAGCUCAAUAUCACUGAUCAUUAGAGAAAUGCAAAUGAAAAUCACAAUGAGAGACCAUCUCACACCAGUCAGAAUGGCUAUUAUUAAAAACUCAAAAAAUAACAGAUGCUGGCGAGGUUGCAGAGAAAAGGGAACACUUAUACACUGUUGGUGGGAGUGUAAAUUAGUUCAACUAUUGUGUAAAGCAAUAUGUCAAUUCCUCAAAGAGCUAAAAAAGAACUACCAUUGGACUCAGCAAUCCCAUUACUGGGUAUAUACUCAGAGGAAUAUAAGUCACUCUACUAUAAACACACACGCAUGCAAAUUUUCAUUGUAGCACUAUUUACAAUAGCAAAGACAUGGAAUCAACCUAAAUGCUCAUCAAUGACAGAUCGGAUAAAGAAAAUAUGCAUCUUCAACCUUUCUGGACUACAGCACCUGCCAACUGACCCCCACAUCAUGGCUCCAACGCUGGCUUCAUCACAUAUCUUCUCUCUCAGUCCCUUUGGCUCUCAGGGUGCAAUAGCUUAACAAAAUUGCUGAUCUAGGUGCCUCAGCAUUGUUUCUUUGUCAUAGUCUCUGUAUUAUCUUAUUUUGAGCCAUUCUUUUCCUGCAAAGAUCCUAACUGAAUGAGAUAACUACUUCAUAAGCUAUUUGUAAGGUUUAAAUAAAUUAAUGCAUAUUUAAUACAUGAA